UACGGAGGGUGCAAGCGUUAUCCGGAUUUACUGGGUUUAAAGGGUGCGUAGGUGGGUUUGUAAGUCAGCGGUGAAAUCUCCAGGCUUAACCUGGAAAUUGCCAUUGAUACUAUAGAUCUUGAAUUAUCUGGAGGUGAGCGGAAUAUGUCAUGUAGCGGUGAAAUGCUUAGAUAUGACAUAGAACACCGAUAGUGAAGACAGCUCACGAAGGCGAAACUGACACUGAGGCACGAAAGCGUGGGGAUCGAACAGG
RNAcentral lists this ribosomal RNA (253 nucleotides) under uncultured bacterium. Its description in RNAcentral is "partial 16S ribosomal RNA". It matches the Rfam family "Bacterial small subunit ribosomal RNA", at positions 524 to 776 of the family's 1533-position model. The record is from RNAcentral.